AUGUCUGAUUAUUAUGUUUGGUAUAAGCAUGGAGAAGAAUUGAAUAUGGAUAUCGGAACUAGUUACACGGAUAUGACGUAUUUUAGUGAGAAUCAUGAAGAAGUGGGUAAUGUUGUAGAAGAA
This 123-nucleotide small RNA is filed under the name Arabidopsis thaliana (thale cress). RNAcentral's name for it is "ATSL274210". Lineage: Eukaryota; Viridiplantae; Streptophyta; Magnoliopsida; Brassicales; Brassicaceae. The record is from RNAcentral.